GAUGAACGCUGGCGGCGUGCCUAAUACAUGCAAGUCGAGCGAACGGACGAGAAGCUUGCUUCUCUGAUGUUGGCGGCGGACGGGUGAGUAACACGUGGAUAACCUACCUAUAAGACUGGGAUAACUUCGGGAAACCGUAGCUAAUACCGGAUAAUAUUUUGAACCGCAUGGUUCAAAAGUGAAAGACGGUUUUGCUGUCACUUAUAGAUGGAUCCGCGCUGCAUUAGCUAGUUGGUAAGGUAACGGCUUACCAAGGCAACGAUGCAUAGCCGACCUGAGAGGGUGAUCGGCCACACUGGAACUGAGACACGGUCCAGACUCCUACGGGAGGCAGCAGUAGGGAAUCUUCCGCAAUGGGCGAAAGCCUGACGGAGCAACGCCGCGUGAGUGAUGAAGGUCUUCGGAUCGUAAAACUCUGUUAUUAGGGAAGAACAUAUGUGUAAGUAACUGUGCACAUCUUGACGGUACCUAAUCAGAAAGCCACGGCUAACUACGUG
This 497-nucleotide ribosomal RNA is filed under the name uncultured bacterium. RNAcentral's name for it is "partial 16S ribosomal RNA". It matches the Rfam family "Bacterial small subunit ribosomal RNA", at positions 28 to 507 of the family's 1533-position model. The record is from RNAcentral.